This 163-nucleotide small nuclear RNA is filed under the name Tropilaelaps mercedesae. RNAcentral describes it as "U1 spliceosomal RNA". It matches the Rfam family "U1 spliceosomal RNA". From Rfam's summary of the family: U1 is a small nuclear RNA (snRNA) component of the spliceosome (involved in pre-mRNA splicing). Its 5' end forms complementary base pairs with the 5' splice junction, thus defining the 5' donor site of an intron. Lineage: Eukaryota; Metazoa; Arthropoda; Arachnida; Mesostigmata; Laelapidae. The record is from Rfam by way of RNAcentral.
UUAUUGUUCUGGUACCGGGACCUUCGUGAUCAGGAAGGCGGAGACCCCAGGAGGAGGCCCUUCCAUUGCACUUUGGAAGGGCUGAGACCUGCCACUCUCCCAAACUGGGAAAGAUGGGGCAUGUAAUUUUUGGUAGUAAGGGUUGCGCGAACGCAGACCCUUA